This 1727-nucleotide long non-coding RNA is filed under the name Marmota monax (woodchuck). Lineage: Eukaryota; Metazoa; Chordata; Mammalia; Rodentia; Sciuridae. The record is from RNAcentral.
CCUGCCUGGGAGCAGCCAGGACGUGGAGGUGGAGACCCACAUGUUGGUCUGCGCGUCCCAGACAGCAUCACAGCGUCACCUGGCCGUGCCAGGUGGGGUCCCUGACGCCCACCAAGGCUCUAGAACCAGGGCUCUGCACUGUGGCCAGGCUGGUCCCAGAUGGAACUCUCACGGAGGACGUGGUCAGGUGGCUUGUGUGAAAGACGAGAAGCCCCUGAGGGAAACGGAGGAGCCCAAGAUUUGCCACAAGGACCAGCCUCCGGAGUGGGAGGAGGAGUCCGGGCCUCCCUGCCGUUCCACGGCCCCCGAGCCUCCCCAUUCCUACUCCUGGCUCCCAGGGGCACCGCUCCUCCUGCCCAGGAGAGGAGCCCCACCCCUCCUAGUGGGGGGGGCUGUAGGGCCUGGAAAGGCCUGGGAGGCCCACCCCCAUCUCCUGGCGCACAGUCAGGCUGACCCGUGAUGGACUGUGCAGAAUCUGUGGCAUUUCCCAUCAGCCGUCUGUCCGUGGUCCCAGGCACACUUUAGAGACACCUGGGUGUCCUGGGAGCUGGGAGUCUGGAGGGGCUUGCUGGGUCUGGCUCACAGAAGCACCAGCCCCAGGCAGCUCAUCUUCUCUGUGAUUCAAGGGCACUGUCCAGCUAAUGGCCAACACACAGGCCCGUUGCUGGGCAGAGAGAUCUCUGGGCACUUGUCUUGGGUUGACAGCUUACGUCUGCAGUACCAGGCUCCACCCAUCCACAAGGUGCACUCUGUCCUGAGCAGGCCACGUCUCACCACCCCAGCUCCGAGCUCGUGACCUCCAGCCCCCGUGAGCACGAGGUGCACUCUGCUCUCUUAGGGUCCUCGGGUCCUCUGUCUUCUCCCUGCUUGUGUCUUUACCUCUGUGUCCUCGAUGGUGGAAAGGCUCCUUCAUCCUGUGUGUGCCUCUGCCCUGGGUCCCCACUUGGCACAGCUCCCAGCAGCUUGCCCUGGGCUCCGAGUCGUGGGACCCAGCCCAGCCCUCGCACCCUCUCUGAGCAGGCUCUGCUCUGCCACCUGUUUUCUCGCCUGUGAGCUGGGAGGACACGCCUGCUGGGCCUGCCUGGCUUGGGGAGCCAAGGACAGAGGACACGGGCGGGAGCAGCCCUGCACCCACCUGGGGCGAGCAGUCCCCACCCUGUGGGACACACAUUGCUGUUAUUCAAGAUGCUCAGCUAUGGUGGUCUGUGGUGGCAGCUGAGCUGACCAAGAUGAUGUUCAGUGUGCCAUCUGGCCUAGCUCAUAGGGGGACAUUUGAAGAAUGUCACUGGCCCCUUCCCGUUGCAUUCCCUGAGCUCACGCCCCAGGGGGUCGGCUCUCUUCUCUAUUAGAGGCCACAGUUCCAAGGGUCCCAGGGCUGCAUCAAUCCUUCCUCUGGAGGAGGCCAGGCAUGGUCACCUCUCCAUGUCACCUGCCGGUGCACAGGUGUGAAGGCACAGGAGACUGGAGCUUGCUGCAGGGUUUGUGCACAUGAUGGGACGGGCUCAUUUCAUUUGGAAGGUCAAGUCAACAUAGGGGAGCAAUGAGCUGAGCCCAGAGAGGGCGAGGAGACUGGGCUGCAGUCUGCGGGGCUCUAGGGGUGCGGGGGCUGAAGGCUGCGUCCACACAGCAGAGAGAGGAGAGAAGCAGUUCUGCACCCCAGGCUGCGGGGGGUCCCCAGGUGGGAGUGCUGCAGAGUCCUGGGGAGCUGCUGGUGCCCGAGCGGUCAC